CCUUUCAAGUAAAUGCAUGUGGCGGAUGCCUUGGCGAUCACAGGCGAAGAAAGACGCGGCAGCCUGCGAAAAGCUGCGGGGAGCUGGCAAACGAGCUUUGAUCCGCAGAUAUCUGAAUGGGGGAACCCACACCGCAAGGUGUAUCCGUAGCUCAAUACAUAGGUUACGGAGGCGAACGAGGAGAACUGAAACAUCUAAGUAUCCUCAGGAAAAGAAAUCAACCGAGAUUCCGGCAGUAGCGGCGAGCGAACCCGGAGGAGCCCAGCUUUUGAUAGUACGAACUUUAGCCGAAAGGUCCUGGAAAGGCCUGCUAUAGUGGGUGAUAGCCCCGUAGGCGAAAGAGUUGGUACGGUACUAAGGAAGCGAGAAGUAGAGCGGGACACGUGGAAUCCUGUUCGAAGACGGGGGGACCAUCCUCCAAGGCUAAAUACUCGUGAUCGACCGAUAGUGAACCAGUACCGUGAGGGAAAGGCGAAAAGAACCCCGGGAGGGGAGUGAAAUAGAACCUGAAACCGCAUGCAUACAAACAGUAGGAGCCUCGUCAGAGGUGACUGCGUACCUUUUGCAUAAUGGGUCAGCGACUUACAUUCUGUGGCGAGCUUAACCGAAUAGGGGAGGCGCAGCGAAAGCGAGUUCGAAAUGAGCGUUCAGUCGCAGGGUGUAGACCCGAAACCAGAUGAGCUAUCCAUGGCCAGGUUGAAGGUGUGGUAACACACACUGGAGGACCGAACCGACUAGUGUUGCAAAAUUAGCGGAUGAGCUGUGGAUAGGGGUGAAAGGCCAAACAAAUCUGGAGAUAGCUGGUUCUCCCCGAAAACUAUUGAGGUAGUGCCUCGUGUGUCGCUCCAGGGGGUAGAGCACUGUUUUGGCUAGGGGGACAUGGAGUCUUACCAAACCAAGGCAAACUCCGAAUACCUGGAAGCGUAAGCACGGGAGACAGAGCACCGGGUGCUAACGUCCGGACUCAAAAGGGAAACAACCCAGACCGCCGGCUAAGGUCCCAAAUAACAGCUAAGUGGAAAACGAAGUGGAAAGGCCGUGACAACCAGGAAGUUGGCUUAGAAGCAGCCAUCCUUCAAAGAAAGCGUAAUAGCUCACUGGUCGAGUCCUUCUGCGCGGAAGAUGUAACGGGGCUAAGCUGUUAACCGAAGCCGCGGAUGCGCUGGUUAUCCAGUGCGUGGUAGGGGAGCGUUCUGUAAGUCUGCGAAGGCGGUUCGAGAGGACUGCUGGAGAUAUCAGAAGUGCGAAUGCUGACAUGAGUAACGUUAAAGCAGGUGAAAAGCCUGCUCGCCGUAAGCCCAAGGAUUCCUGCUCUACGUUCAUCGGAGCAGGGUGAGUCGGCUCCUAAGGUCAGGCCGAAAGGCGUAGCCGAUGGGAAUCAGGUUAAUAUUCCUGAACCUGCGUCAGAUGCGAUGGGGGGACGGAGCAUGGAAGAUCAUCCGGGUGUUGGAAGUCCCGGUUGUUUAGCGUAGGAGGUCUGCAGGCAAAUCCGCAGACGCAUCUCCAAGGCAAAGACACGUGCCGCCACGGCGGCGAAGUGAUCGGAAGUGCUUCCAAGAAAAGCCUCUAAGCCCCAGUCUGAUGCGGACCGUACCGCAAACCGACACUGGUGGGCGAGCUGAAUAUGCUCAGGCGCUUGAGAGAACUCGGGAGAAGGAACUCGGCAAAUUGACACCGUAACUUCGGAAGAAGGUGUGCCGUAGUACCGUGAGAGGAGAGACACCUUGAGCGGGAAACGGUCUCAGAGAAUAGGUGGCUGCGACUGUUUAUUAAAAACACAGCACUCUGCAAAGUCGAAAGACGACGUAUAGGGUGUGAUGCCUGCCCGGUGCUGGAAGAUUAAUUGAUGGGGUGAGAGCCCUUGAUCGAAGUCCCAGUAAACGGCGGCCGUAACUAUAACGGUCCUAAGGUAGCGAAAUUCCUUGUCGGGUAAGUUCCGACCUGCACGAAUGGCAUAACGAUGGCCACACUGUCUCCUCCCGAGACUCAGUGAAGUUGAAAUGUUUGUGAUGAUGCAAUCUACCCGCGGCUAGACGGAAAGACCCCAUGAACCUUUACUGCAGCUUUGCAUUGAACUGUGAACCGAUUUGUGUAGGAUAGGUGGGAGGCAGAGAAGAGGCCACGCCAGUGGUCUUGGAGCCGACCUUGAAAUACCACCCUGAUUUGUUUGCGGUUCUAACCACGGACAGUGAUCCUGUCUUGGGACCGUGCAUGGUAGGCAGUUUGACUGGGGCGGUCUCCUCCUAAAGGGUAACGGAGGAGUACGAAGGUACGCUAGGUACGGUCGGAAAUCGUGCUGAUAGUGCAAUGGCAAAAGCGUGCUUGACUGCGAGAGCAACAACUCGAGCAGAUGCGAAAGCAGGUCAUAGUGAUCCGGUGGCUCUGAAUGGAAGGGCCAUCGCUCAACGGAUAAAAGGUACUCUGGGGAUAACAGGCUGAUACCGCCCAAGAGUUCAUAUCGACGGCGGUGUUUGGCACCUCGAUGUCGGCUCAUCUCAUCCUGGGGCUGUAGUCGGUCCCAAGGGUAUGGCUGUUCGCCAUUUAAAGAGGUACGUGAGCUGGGUUUAAAACGUCGUGAGACAGUUUGGUCCCUAUCUGCCGUGGGCGUUGGAAGAUUGACGGGGGCUGCUCCUAGUACGAGAGGACCGGAGUGGACGCACCUCUGGUGUACCGGUUGUCACGCCAGUGGCAUUGCCGGGUAGCUAAGUGCGGAAGAGAUAACCGCUGAAAGCAUCUAAGCGGGAAACUUGCCUGAAGAUGAGUCUUCCCGGAGGUUGAACCUCCCUCAAGAGUCGUCCGAGACCAGGACGUCGAUAGGUCAGGUGUGUAAGCGCUGUAAGGCGUUGAGCUAACUGAUACUAAUUGCUCGUGAGGCUUGAUCCU
This 2883-nucleotide ribosomal RNA is filed under the name human gut metagenome. RNAcentral describes it as "bacterial LSU rRNA". It matches the Rfam family "Bacterial large subunit ribosomal RNA". The record is from RNAcentral.